UAGGGAAUAUUGGUCAAUGGAGGCAACUCUGAACCAGCCAUGCCGCGUGCAGGAUGACGGCCCUCUGGGUUGUAAACUGCUUUUAUACGGGAAGAAAAAAUACUACGUGUAGUAUAUUGACGGUACCGUAAGAAUAAGGAUCGGCUAACUCCGUGCCAGCAGCCGCGGUAAUACGGAGGAUCCAAGCGUUGGCCGGAUUUAUUGGGUUUAAAGGGUGCGUAGGCGGAUCUUUAAGUCAGUGGUGAAAGC
This 249-nucleotide ribosomal RNA is filed under the name uncultured Sphingobacteriales bacterium. RNAcentral's name for it is "partial 16S ribosomal RNA". It matches the Rfam family "Bacterial small subunit ribosomal RNA", at positions 355 to 601 of the family's 1533-position model. Lineage: Bacteria; Pseudomonadati; Bacteroidota; Sphingobacteriia; Sphingobacteriales. The record is from RNAcentral.